CCGAAUUAGUCGACAACCUGGUUGAUCCUGCCAGUAGUCAUAUGCUUGUCUCAAAGAUUAAGCCAUGCAUGUUUAAGUAUAAACCGCUUGUACCGCAAGGUGCAAAACGGGUGAAACUGCGAAUGGCUCAUUAAAUCAGCAAUCGUUUAUUUGAUUGUGCGCUAUUGUGGUGUUUGGUUUGGGGGUUCGCCUCUGGAUCAAAGUCCGCAAAUGGCUACAUGGAUAACCGUGGUAAUUCAAGAGCUAAUACAUGAAGGAAAAAACAAGGUUGACUUUUCGCAAGUGAGGAAGACCCGCAUUUAUUAGAUACAUACGAAAACCGGAACUUCUGAGGGGUUAAAGCCUCAGGGGCCAAAGAGUUGGCGAUUCAUAAUGACUGCGCGAAUCGCAUGGCCCUCACUCUCGGGUGGGAAUGGCUGGCGAUGGAUCAUUCAAAUUUCUGCCCCAUCAACUUUCGAUGGUUGGAUCAAGGCCAACCAUGGUGAUGACGGGUAACGGAGAAUUGGGGUUCGAUUCCGGAGAGGGAGCCUGGAGAAACGGCUCCCACUUCCAAGGAAGGCAGCAGGCGCGCAAAUUGCCCAAUCCUGACACAGGGAGGCAGUGACAAGAAAUAACAAUGCAGGACUCUUGAAAUAUAGGGACUGCAAUUGGAAUGAGCACAAUUUAAAACGCUUUCGCGAGGAACAAUUGGAGGGCAAGUCUGGUGCCAGCAGCCGCGGUAAUUCCAGCUCCAAUAGCGUAUGCUAAAAUUGCUGUADUUGAAAAGCUCGUAGUUGGAUUUCGGCGUAAAAAGGAUGGGAUGAGAAUUUGGAAACAAAGCACUCGCCUAUCCCUUGAGAUAUCACUGUGCAGGGAAGAAGUUCUCUAUGAGGAUCAUCUUUGUGCAGGGUCUCUUUACGCCUUUUUCUUGAAUUUCUCUUCGGAGAGAGACGAGAACGGAUUGGCUGGAUGCUCGCAUGCAAUUCUUUACUGAUUUGUGUGUCUCUUUUGGGCUGUGGCUUUGGUUUCGGCUAGAGUUGCAGUCCAAGGGUUUGUUGCCUGUGGGAUUUAUCCAUGAGUAAUAGAGCUCCAGUCCGUUUACCUUGAGCAAAACAGAGUGUUCAAAGCAGGCCUAAACUCGGCAGCAAUGUCGAGAAACGCCUUGCAUGCUUCAGCAUGGGAUAAUGGAACAGGACUAGGUUGGGUCACGCACAUAUUUCGUUUGGUUUUCAGGCGUGAAAAAAUAGAAUUAACACUUCACCCAGCCGGUGAUGAUUGAUAGGGACAGUCGGGGGCAUUGGUAUUUAAUUGUCAGAGGUGAAAUUCUUGGAUUAAUUAAAGACCAACUUCAGCGAAGGCAUUUGUCAAGGAUGUUUUCAUUUAAUCAAGAACGAAAGUUGGGGGAUCGAAGAUGAUCAGAUACCGUCGUAGUCCCAACCGUAAACGAUGCCGACCAGGGAUCGGGAGUGGAAGUAUAAAAAGGCGAAAGUUUUCAUUCCUUCGGGACUUGGGAGCUCUAGCUGAAUCGUCCCUCCCGGCACCUUACACAUAAUAAUCUUUCCGGGAAACCACGAGUCUUUGGGUUCUGGGGGGAGUCUGGUCGCAAGGCUGAAACUUAAAGGAAUUGACGGAAGGGCACCACCAGGAGUGGAGCCUGCGGCUUAAUUUGACUCAACACGGGGAAACUCACCAGGUCCAGACUUGACGAGGAUUGACAGAUUGACAGCUCUUUCUUGAUUUCAAGGGUGGUGGUGCAUGGCCGUUCUUAGUUGGUGGAGCGAUCUGUCUGGUUAAUUCCGAUAACGAACGAGACCUCGGCCUACUGAAUAGCGAUACCAAUCCUGCUUUCAAUCUCAUAAAAGAGGAAUGAUUAGGAUGAAAAGCCCCUCACGGGGUCGGAUUUCUAGUUGUCCACCUCUUUUGCAGAGUCGGGAUUUUCUGGGUUGGUGUGAGAGGCAACUCUCAUGCCCUUGGAUGCCCGGUUAUCUGCCGAUAGUCGGAUUGCCGUAGCACGCUUCUCAGAGGGACCACUUCGCGCUAAAAGCCAGCGAGUGGAAGAUCGRGGCAAUAACAGGUCUGUGAUGCCCUUCAGAUGUUCUGGGCCGCACGCGCGCUACACUGACGGAGACCAACGAGCGAUGGCGACAUUGGAUCAGGUUGCGUUUUAUGGUAGCAAUACUAUAGAGCGUGGCUUCCAAUGUCGGCGACCUCGGCCGAAACAGGCUCGGGGCAAUCUUGGUAAACUCCGUCGUGCUGGGGAUCGAUCCUUGCAACUGUGGGUCGUCAACGAGGAAUUCCUCGUAGGCGCGGUUCAUCAGACCGCGCCGAAUGCGUCCCUGCCCUUUGUACACACCGCCCGUCGCUCCUACCGAUUGAAUGGUCCGGUGAAGUCUUUGGAGCUGGGGCUCUGCCUAUUCCUUCGGGAGUAGGCUUUUGAGCCUCUUGCYGUGGCGAAGUUGACUGAACCUUACCAUUUAGAGGAAGGAGAAGUCGUAACAAGGUAUCCGUAGGUGAACCUGCAGAAGGAUCAAGCUUGGAUCCCGGG
RNAcentral lists this ribosomal RNA (2524 nucleotides) under Sappinia pedata. RNAcentral describes it as "partial small subunit ribosomal RNA". It matches the Rfam family "Eukaryotic small subunit ribosomal RNA". Lineage: Eukaryota; Discosea; Longamoebia; Thecamoebida. The record is from RNAcentral.